GGGGAAUUUUCCGCAAUGGGCGAAAGCCUGACGGAGCAAUACCGCGUGAGGGAUGAAUGCCUAUGGGUUGUAAACCUCUUUUUUCAGGGAGGAGUCAAUGACGUGUACCCUGAAGAAUAAGCAUCGGCUAACUCCGUGCCAGCAGCCGCGGUAAGANCGGAGGAUGCAAGUGUUAUCCGGAAUCACUGGGCGUAAAGCGUCUGUAGGUGGUCCAAUAAGUCAACUGUUAAAUCUUGAGGCUCAACUUCAAAAUCGCAGUCGAAACUAUUAGANCUAGAGUAUAGUAGGGGUAAAGGGAAUUUCCAGUGGAGCGGUGAAAUGCGUAGAGAUUGGAAAGAACACCGAUGGCGAAGGCACUUUACUGGGCUAUUACUAACACUACAGAGACGAAAGCUAGGGUAGCAAAUGGGAUUAGAACCCCAGUAGUC
This 428-nucleotide ribosomal RNA is filed under the name uncultured cyanobacterium. RNAcentral describes it as "bacterial SSU rRNA". It matches the Rfam family "Bacterial small subunit ribosomal RNA", at positions 356 to 795 of the family's 1533-position model. The record is from RNAcentral. Lineage: Bacteria; Bacillati; Cyanobacteriota.